GCCGCGAUCGUCUAGUGGUUAGGACAUUAGUUUGUGGUUGAACUAAUCGUGAACACUGAAAACGGCGGUUCGAUUCCGCCUCGUGGCA
RNAcentral lists this transfer RNA (88 nucleotides) under Stachybotrys elegans. It matches the Rfam family "tRNA". From Rfam's summary of the family: Transfer RNA (tRNA) molecules are approximately 80 nucleotides in length. Lineage: Eukaryota; Fungi; Ascomycota; Sordariomycetes; Hypocreales; Stachybotryaceae. The record is from Rfam by way of RNAcentral.